GUGCCAGCCGCUGCGGUAAUACGGAGGGUGCAAGCGUUAUCCGGAUUCACUGGGUUUAAAGGGAGCGCAGGUGGGUUGGUAAAGUCAGAGGUGAAAUCUCCGAGCUUAACUCGGAAACUGCCUUUGAUACUAUCAGUCUUGAAUAUUGUUGAGGUUAGCGGAAUAUGUCAUGUAGCGGUGAAAUGCUUAGAUAUGACAUAGAACACCAAUUGCGAAGGCAGCUGGCUAAACAUAUAUUGACACUGAGGCUCGAAAGCGUGGGGAUCAAACAGGAUUAGAUACCCUGGUAGUCCACGCCCUAAACUAUGGAUACUCGACAUACGCGAUACACAGUGUGUGUCUGAGCGAAAGCAUUAAGUAUCCCACUGGGAAGUACGAUCGCAAGAUUGAAACUCAAAGGAAUUGGACGGGGUCCGCACAAGCGGUGGAGCA
Molecule: ribosomal RNA, 432 nt
Filed under: uncultured Niabella sp.
Lineage: Bacteria; Pseudomonadati; Bacteroidota; Chitinophagia; Chitinophagales; Chitinophagaceae
Description: bacterial SSU rRNA
Rfam family: Bacterial small subunit ribosomal RNA
Source: RNAcentral